RNAcentral lists this ribosomal RNA (945 nucleotides) under Triticum aestivum (bread wheat). RNAcentral describes it as "partial small subunit ribosomal RNA". Lineage: Eukaryota; Viridiplantae; Streptophyta; Magnoliopsida; Poales; Poaceae. The record is from RNAcentral.
AUGGAGAUUAGGGCCCCGCCGACGAGCCUCAGGCUCGCGACGCCGCCUUCAACCGCCAGCUUCCGCCCGGUCGCCCUCCGGACCUCCUUCCUCAGCGGCAGCGUUUCUCUUCGAGCUGUGCAAGUACGUCAAUCAAAUGUCAACAGAUUUAAGUGCAACGCCAUACGGAGUAACCUCUUCGAUAGACUAACUAGGGUUGUCAGGUCCUAUGCAAAUGCAAUUCUGAGUUCAUUUGAAGACCCUGAGAAGAUCCUAGAUCAAGCGGUCUUGGAGAUGAAUGAUGAUUUAAUAAAGAUGCGGCAAGCCACUGCACAGGUCUUGGCAUCUCAAAAGAGGCCUGAGAACAAGUACAAAGCUGCCGAACAAGCUGAUGCUGAUUGGUAUCGGAGGGCUCAACUUGCUCUUCAAAAGGGUGAAGAGGAUCUUGCUCGUGAAGCCCUUAAACGGCGUAAAUCAUAUGCUGAAAAUGCAAGCUCGUUAAAGGCCCAGCUUGAUCAGCAGAAGAGUGUCGUCGAAAAUCUUGUUUCAAAUACCAGGCUUCUUGAGAGCAAGAUAGCAGAGGCCAAGCAGAAAAAGGAUACCCUAAAAGCCUGUGCUCAAUCAGCAAAGACCGCAACAAAAGUGAGUGAAAUGCUGGGGAAUGUGAAUACAAGUGGUGCCUUGUCAGCGUUUGAGAAGAUGGAGGAGAAAGUUAUGACUAUGGAAUCCCAAGCUGAGGCACUUGGUCAAUUAGGAGCUGAUGAUCUAGAAGGAAAGUUUGCAAUGCUUGAGACUACAUCGGUUGACGAUGAUCUUGCACAAAUGAGAAAAGAACUGUCCGGGAGAUCUUUGAAGGGCGAACUCCCUCCGGGCAGAGCCGCAGCCAGCAAAUCAGGUAGCCCCUUCCGAGACACAGAGAUUGAGAAGGAGCUAAAUGAGCUGCGGAAGAAGGCCAAAGAGUAUUAG